This is a long non-coding RNA of Lycium barbarum (goji berry), 3114 nucleotides long. RefSeq lists it as uncharacterized. The record is from RefSeq and is a predicted model, not a curated record. The transcript is spliced from 2 exons. NCBI's taxonomy places the organism in Eukaryota, Viridiplantae, Streptophyta, Magnoliopsida, Solanales, Solanaceae.
UUUAACCAAACAACCCUAAACCGACAACCCCCUUUCAACGUUCACCUAACAGCCCUAACGCACCACCCAUCGCCGCCACCCUUGUCACGUCUGUCACCUCACCACCACCACGCCCAUAUCCCACAAAAUCCGCUACCUACACCCCUCUUCUCCUUUCUCACACUCCAUCUCUGAAGCUUGCAGGCUCCAUGUGCGAUUUCAGCGGAUUUCGGGGCCUUCCUUGGCUGUUUUGAGACAAGUUUCAAGGGCUAAGUUAACAAGGUUGAAGUGUUGGAAAUUCCUCUUGAAUAACCCAAAAAAAAAAAAAAAUCUCAUCUGUUUUCUUAAAAAAAAAAAAAUCUCUCUUUUAACUUUAAGUUUGUUUUUUGUCGAAUUCUUUUGUGGUUCUCGGCUAAACAAGCUCCUCAAGCGGAUUCGGAGACUCGACGACGACGUUAGCCUCAGUUCGCUGUCAUAAAGAAGGUAAUCGCAUUCGUCCUAUCUUCGUCUUUAAUUUUGUUAAAGUAGAAAUGUAGUCGUCAAGUAUUUCUCAUCAUUUAUUUGGUUUAGUUGGCUAGAUUGUGUUUGCUUGUCGUUUGUUGUAAGUUAGUGUAAAACGACUAAUCAUACUUAGAAGAAUUGUUGGUUAAUUCAUCUAAGAUGUAUGCAAUUUUGUCGCUUGGCUAAUUUUCUGUUUCAGUCAUUUGUCAAAAGCUGCCACGUCCUUAUUUUUUUCGGUGUAAAGCAUGGCUUAUGGAAACUGCGAAUUUAGAAAGGGAAAUCUACUUAUUUGUGAGAAUAUAUAGCUUAUACAUGGAUUUGAUGUUAUGUUUGUUGUUGUCCUCCUGUAUGUUCAAGUAAUUAACUAAAAGCCAUGCUUCUUUUCUAUAAGAAUUCAAGUUAGGUGACCAAGUGAACCUGUUAAGUCUUUGUAAAUAUGGAAGUUUUCUCAUUGUUUAAGAAUUAUGGCUGUAACAUCUUGAAGUGUUUAUAUAGAUUCAGUUGUUUUGUUCAUCUUAUACCAUAUUACACUAUUUGCAGAUCGUAGAAUUUAAGCUUUAACAUUUGAUAUGAAGUUUAAACCAGUUCUGCUUGUUACAUUUGUUUUAAAAUCCUCUCUGUUAGGAAUAUACUAUGGUAUGCUUAGGAGUUCACUUGGGAAAUCCCAAAAGCUACAAAGAAACAUGUUGAUGCUAAGUACAUUUGUGGUCUUCUCAGCAUGAUUGUACUAGCUAAGUUGUCAUGUAUAAAUCUAGAAAGAGUUCUUAACUUAAUUAUCUCUAGAUGAGGAUAGUAAAAGACUGGUGUUUAGUGAAAUGGGACGAGAUAAAUAAGCAGUAGGUAGUUAGCUGCACAUAUUAUAUCCUGUGCCAAAUGUACGCUUUAGUUUGACAAUUUGCUAGUGUCAUUUUUCUUGAGCUUAACUAGACUUCCUAAUGUACAGGGGUGCUGCUAUGUGAGAGUCUAAAUUACUUGUUUUGGGCUUCCUUUUGUCUAGAAACAGUCACCAAAAAAAAAGUGUUAGUUUGCCUUUUGGCUCUAAGUUUCCAGUUAUAUGUACUUAAUUGGCUAUCUCUGUAUUUUUUUUUCAAGUUUGGAAACAAAUAUGAAUUAGUUUAUAUGCUUAUGUACUCACUUGAAUGAAAUAUGGAUAAGAGAGGAUCUAGUGACUGCUUUUGUUGCUUUUAUAUGUCCACAAGUAUGAAUAAUGAAUUUAUGAGGCAUGUCGAGCUUGUUAAGGGUAUGCGAGAAUUCUUGGCUGUUUAAUCUAGCACAUUUUCUGACUUGAAGAGUUCCUUUAAACGUUCUGACUUAAGAAACUUAGCUAAGGGUCUACAUGUUUUAAUGACUAAAAGUUGCGUACUCUUAAAAAAUUCACCUGCUUGUUGUAACAGCUUUGUUGCAUUCUAGCUAUGCCUUAAUAGACUCCAUUAGCCUAAAAAGGGACCUGCACUAUGUAGAGUUGGAUUAAUUGUUUUGCUUGGAAGAAUGGUGGUCAGUCGUGUUGCAUCCGUUCUUGGGCCUUUUUUUUGUAGUUGCCGAUUUGUCGAGGCGUGUAAUGUGACCAUAGCUGUACUAUUUUAUUUGUAUCUCCUGGUUUCAUGAAUCAAUAAGUAAAGAAUGCAUAUUUUGGUCGACCUUCCUAGACAGAUUUGGUCUCUUUACUCCCAUACUUUGUAGGGUGCGUCAGUCGUGUUGCAUCCGUUCUUGGGCCUUUUUUUUGUAGUUGCCGAUUUGUCGAGGCGUGUAAUGUGACCAUAGCUGUACUAUUUUAUUUGUAUCUCCUGGUUUCAUGAAUCAAUAAGUAAAGAAUGCAUAUUUUGGUCGACCUUCCUAGACAGAUUUGGUCUCUUUACUCCCAUACUUUGUAGGGUGCCUUACAUGUUGUCUUGGAGUCUUGAAAAUAAAGGUGUGAGCUUGUUUGAACAACCUAUUAUCAUGUUUAAGAAUUUCAAGUUGAACUCGUAGUUGCGUUAUAUUUGUUCAUAUUUUAGCUCAAAAGUUGAUGUGCUUUGAUCUGGAUGCUUAAAACCAUUUGAGUCGUCUAAAGCGAUCAGUUGGACAAAGUUACUUAUCUCAUAUUAUUGUAUUUCCCCCUCUGGUGGAACAUUAAAACAUAAAAGAAGGCUUUGGAUGUGAUCAUGGUUUAAAUGUUUGUGAGCUAAUUUUUGAGACUACAUACUAGAUUUUUUGACGUAGGAGAUCUUCUUAUGAUUUAACUAGAUUCUGGAAAUAAUUAGUAUUUUUGUGCCUUGUUUUAAUUACAACAUAUAGCAUUUGAUGUUAAUUAUUUCCAUCUAUGAUUAUUGGGAUUGUAACUCUAAUCCUUUUCUUUUCUUUCUUUUUACAUGAACACCAUGGGAGUUUGUUGGAGUUGUGACUCAACUCUAAUUCUGCCCAGGUCAUAAGAGCGGCCAGCAGCAGAUUAUUUGCUCGUCUCUAGUAGUCCCACCGCGUCCACGUCUCGAGUCUCCGUCCUUCUUCCUUAUUCAAAAUUUCAAGCCUCCAUAUUGUUUGAUACAUGCUGUUUAUAUUAUUUGACUAACACUCUUUGUGAAUUUGUAUUUUUUGUAGUUUUGUUUUGAACGUGUAACUUGACUUAAGUAUAUUACUAAGUUUAGUCAUUAUCUUCCC